GAGGAGUGAAACAUGACUGAGAUUCUGAGUCCCGUGCGCUGAGCCUAUGCUCCCCAAUACUUUGUGAGUGUGUGUGUGUGUGUGUUUGUAUGUGUGUGUGUGUGUAUGAGACAUGUGACACUAGCUUGUACUUAGGAGCAGGGAGCGUGAAGUCACACUCUGAGUGUGGUGUGACUUUCCACAGCUAGAAGUGGAAUGAGGAAGGACAGACGAUGGCAGACUCAGGGACCUGGCCCACUGGCACAGGCCUGCUGCCCCAGACCAGCUCUGCCCACUUCCUCCCCGCUUGCUCACGUGGUCGUGGGGCUGACCGAGGCCUGGCUCAGACGCAGCAGCCUGAGGGCACCAGGGAGGCCCGGCUGCAGCAGGGGCGGUGGGGUCUGUCCUCUCCCACCCUCAUCUCAGCAUCAGGAAAAUCUGUUCACUGUAGACUGGAGGGACUAGGGGCUGGAGACGGGGGAGAGCCAUGAAAACAGCUCCUUCCUUAAAAGAAAGGGUGGACAAAUCACUCCAUCGUUACUCUUCGUGUCUAGGGAGACAGAGAGAUGGAAAGAGAGACCAGGGCUCAUCUCCAGCUACUGACUCAGCGGUCUGACUGUCAGCAGUCAGAGAAGCCAAGGGGGAUGGUAUGAUUCUGGUACUGUCUGCCCAAACCCCACUGCAAGCCCCAUCUCUGCCCUUGCCAGUCACAGAUGGAGCCCUGCCCAGCCCCUCCCAGAUGUCGUCAUGGUACAUCAGGAGAGACCAGAUAACCUGCCUGAGGUGCAAGAAAUUCCAGGCCAAGAUGCCACACAGUGUGGAUCACCAUGACGAAGCCAGCGAGGCGGAGAUGAGGAGAACCUCAAACUCGUACAUCGUGGAGAACGGGCACCAGCCUGGGGCAGGGAAUGUUGGAGCAGGCAUC
RNAcentral lists this long non-coding RNA (904 nucleotides) under Camelus dromedarius (Arabian camel). RNAcentral describes it as "lncRNA (ENSCDRG00005018456.1)". The record is from RNAcentral. Lineage: Eukaryota; Metazoa; Chordata; Mammalia; Artiodactyla; Camelidae.